AUUGAACGCUGGCGGCAUGCUUUACACAUGCAAGUCGAACGGUAACAGGGAGCUUGCUCCGCUGACGAGUGGCGAACGGGUGAGUAAUGCAUCGGAACGUGCCGUGUAGUGGGGGAUAACGUAGCGAAAGUUACGCUAAUACCGCAUACGCCCUGAGGGGGAAAGUGGGGGACCGCAAGGCCUCACGCUAUACGAGCGGCCGAUGUCGGAUUAGCUAGUUGGUAGGGUAAAGGCCUACCAAGGCGACGAUCCGUAGCGGGUCUGAGAGGAUGAUCCGCCACACUGGGACUGAGACACGGCCCAGACUCCUACGGGAGGCAGCAGUGGGGAAUUUUGGACAAUGGGCGCAAGCCUGAUCCAGCCAUGCCGCGUGAGUGAAGAAGGCCUUCGGGUUGUAAAGCUCUUUCAGACGGAAAGAAAUCGGUAGUGUCUAAUACACGCACUGGAUGACGGUACCGUAAGAAGAAGCACCGGCUAACUACGUGCCGAGCCAGCCGAAC
RNAcentral lists this ribosomal RNA (500 nucleotides) under uncultured bacterium. RNAcentral describes it as "bacterial SSU rRNA". It matches the Rfam family "Bacterial small subunit ribosomal RNA", at positions 29 to 526 of the family's 1533-position model. The record is from RNAcentral.